UACGGAGGGGGCUAGCGUUGUUCGGAAUUACUGGGCGUAAAGCGCACGUAGGCGGCUUUGUAAGUCAGAGGUGAAAGCCCGGAGCUUAACUCCGGAAUUGCCUUUGAGACUGCAUCGCUUGAAUCCAGGAGAGGUGAGUGGAAUUCCGAGUGUAGAGGUGAAAUUCGUAGAUAUUCGGAAGAACACCAGUGGCGAAGGCGACUUCCUGGCCUGUUCUUGACGCUGAGGCGCGAAAGCUAGGGUAGCAAACGGG
Molecule: ribosomal RNA, 253 nt
Filed under: uncultured bacterium
Lineage: Bacteria
Description: partial 16S ribosomal RNA
Rfam family: Bacterial small subunit ribosomal RNA
Source: RNAcentral